RNAcentral lists this ribosomal RNA (292 nucleotides) under uncultured bacterium. RNAcentral's name for it is "partial 16S ribosomal RNA". It matches the Rfam family "Bacterial small subunit ribosomal RNA", at positions 505 to 796 of the family's 1533-position model. The record is from RNAcentral.
GUGCCAGCCGCCGCGGUAAUACGUAAGAGGCAAGCGUUGUCCGGAAUCACUGGGCGUAAAGGGUGCGCAGGCGGUCUAGCAAGUCAGAGGUGAAAGCCAUCAGCUUAACUGAUGAAGUGCCUUUGAAACUGUUAGACUUGAGGAUAGGAGAGGAAAGUGGAAUUCCCGGUGUAGUAGUGAAAUACGUAGAGAUCGGGAAGAAUACCAAUGGUGAAAACAGCUUUCUGGCCUAUUCCUGACGCUGAGGUACGAAAGCUAGGGUAGCAAACGGGAUUAGAAACCCCAGUAGUCC